UGGAACAGCAGUACCUCCUGGUCGUCUCCCUAGGAGGGAGCACUAAUGAUCACCCCAUUUGCUGGGCUUACACUUGUCUUCUUAUCUUUGCCUCUACUAURCUAGUUUAUCUCAUUUCAUCCUGUUCACUACACACUGGAGUUGGGGUAUAGGAAUUUCUAUUUUGCAGAUGGGAAAUAAGGGCUGCAGAGAGGUGAAUCAGUGCUUUCCCCAAAACUUUCCUUUUAGGCCUACACAGAAAUGAUAAUAUUGGAACUUCAUCCCAAGGUGAACUGAUGGAGCUGCUCAAGGUGGAGAUAAAUGACCUUGGCCCCAGGUGCCACCUAGAAGUGGUGCUGAAAAUGGAGUUGGUGAGGCUGGUUGACGGAUACUGGAAAUAGAGCGCAAAGGAAUAGUGAGAUGCAGCCCAAAGGUGAGUGUGGGCCCAGGGGCGGGGAGKGGGGCAGCCAAUGCACCAUUAUUCAGAAGUGAAUGGGAAGGGUCCACACCAGUUCUCAGUUAGUGAAUCUGCAACCAGAGACUGAUAGACAAUGAGAACAAGUUUUGAAGACUGAGGAGGGCAGCGUCUGAAACUCUAGAUGAGAGGCCUUCAAUCUUCAACUCGGGUUGAGAGGGAGCUGGAUCAGAUCAAAUCAUAUUUUCUUUGGUAAGUGAUCUGUUCUCCAUAUGUAUCAACUUCUUAUUUAGAAAUGUGGUAUAAGUUGAUUUUAUCCAUAAAAAUACAGAUCUUCUGUUUCUAUUUAYUCUACAGGUGUCUGUAAAGCUCAUGGCAGUUCAUCUACUGAAUUUGACCCCAGAAAUCUCAGAUAACAGUAUGGGGCUGUGGUU
Molecule: long non-coding RNA, 828 nt
Filed under: Urocitellus parryii (Arctic ground squirrel)
Lineage: Eukaryota; Metazoa; Chordata; Mammalia; Rodentia; Sciuridae
Description: lncRNA (ENSUPAG00010018442.1)
Source: RNAcentral